Molecule: long non-coding RNA, 1640 nt
Organism: Peromyscus maniculatus bairdii (prairie deer mouse)
Lineage: Eukaryota; Metazoa; Chordata; Mammalia; Rodentia; Cricetidae
Source: RefSeq, a predicted model, not a curated record
GAGCCAGCCUGGGAGACAACAUUGUUCCUACAAGCUUGGUGAAUUACUGGCCCCUGAUCAGGCCAAUCUCCUAUUUUGGAUUACUAUAAAGUGAUAGGAUCCUGCUUCUGUGUUAUUUUAAGUAGCCUGAAGUGAUCCCAUAGGACCUGGCUACUCCUGGACAGUGGCUGAAAUAGCAAGUCUCCUGUCUACCUUCUCUGUCUGUGGAGCUCUGGGCCCUGGAAGUGAUUCCUUCAAGAAUUUACCAACCAACCUCAGGACUGCAGUUGGAUUCUACCAAAGAGAGGAGUUACAUCAGAGAAGAUGGGAGGAUGAAAUGGAGGCCUUUAUUCCCAUCAUCCCUGCAGCCAUCUGUUUCCUGCUGAGCCUCCAACAGAGAAACUUUCCAAUCAAGAAUGUACUGCCGCGAAUACAAAAAGUGCCAGCGUGGAACAUUGAUGUGAGGAGGAGAAAAGCCCCAGCUACAUGCUCCUCCACCAUGGUGCCACCUGUUUGGAUGCCUUCUCCAUCGUGUUGGACUCCACAUCUUCAAGCUAUAACCCAGAUGAGGUUCUCCUACCUCAGUCAUUCCUCAAAGGUAUUUUGUCUCAGUAAGAAGGAAAGUAAUAAAUACAGAGUCUCUAUAAACCUGAACCCCAACAAGCAUACGUGGAUCAACUGAAGUAACAGACAAGUCAGAGUAAACAAGAGAUGAACUAUAGAAAGGUCUUAAAACCCACAUACAGAACCAGACACUUCUGAAUAAGAGACUCUACUAGACUAACGCUGUUUAGGGUCUCUUGUUCAAUAAUCCGAAACAUGAAAAGUCUUGUGUAGAAAUCCAGGAGAGCAGGUUACUACAAACCAGAACAUCAUCUAUUGGUGGUUGUGCUCUUAGUUUUAUUGCUGUGCAUUUGCAUAGGAAUAUCCUCCAGUUAGAUGGAUGUGGUAGUCAAAUGCUCAACUGAUCACAUUUGUCUCUAAAAACAGAUCUGUCCCAUUAACUAACAGCUGUGAGCCCCAAUCUCGCGUAGCUCAUAUCAGAGGCUACCUCAAGUUUGCUACAUUUUACAACGUGUGAAUGCACUUUCCUACAAUAAAUAUGGCACUGUCUUAACACGCUCAAAGCUGUACCAAAAUAUGAGUUGAAAUUGGCUACCUGGUAAUUACUCAGCUUAGCCGAGCCCUGCUAAUUCUCAAGGGGAUCCCAGGGGGUGAAUUUCCCAAAGAUGUGCAGAGUCAAUUGAGAUGACUUUCCUCAGUUUUAAUGGAUUUGACACAGCUAGAAGCUUGCAUGGUGUCGGGAAGUUUAGUGCAAUUAUCAGUGGGUUGAGGAGCCCGCGCUGAAGGCGUUCCUUACCCAGGGAGGCUCAAGGAAAGUGGUGACAUCCCAUGAAGCCGCCUGUCUCCAUCUAGGGUUGUGGUAGUCAGGGCUGACACUGGGGAGGGCUAUGUCCAGGAUAGGAUGGACUCGAGUCUCUGCAAAGCAGGGAAUUCAGCUACAAAUCACAGUAGCUCUCCAGUAAGGUGCACAGGACAGGCAGCAUGUGAUCAAGGGGCAACCCUAGUGUUGAAGUGUCCGGCUGGUAGCAGUGUAGCCUCUGAUUUUCAAAGGACUGCUCACUCUUGCACAGUGAAACACAGACUAUCUCCUGAGGGGC